AUACCCAAAAUUUAUGCGGGAGAAUUCUCUCUCUUUCAAAAUGUUAAAUCAUUCGAAAGUUUUCUAAAACCCCUCUUUUCUGAAUAACAUUUCAUAGCCCCUCUUUCUUUUGCCCAUCACUCUCACACGGCUAAACCUAGGAAAAAAUCCAAUAUCCCUACCUCAUUUGCUCCAUCCCAGCCAUCUCUCUCUCUCCCCCCUCUUUCCAUGGCAAAUCUGGUUGAUUUAAGUGCUGAGCUUGUGUGUUCUCCUCCAUGACAGAGCUUCUAGUUUCUUUUAGAUAUUGGGUGACAAGAGGAUUGGUUUACUUGUUUUCUUGCUAUGGAUGAAGAAUGGGAAGACAGCAAUUUGACAGGAACUUCAAGUUUUGUAGAAAGUGUUUGACAUUCUAAUAUUCCACAAUUGGACGAAGACUUUGAAAUGCAACUACUCAAGUUUUUAGAUCAGACAAGGAUUUUGAAGUGUUAUUAGACUAUGCAUAUUACAAUUUCCAUGCUAUUUCCAUCUGGAUAAAUGUAACUUGAUAAUGAAUCUAUCGAUAUGUAUGGAGUUAUUUUGUGAAUGAAAACUCCUUAUUAAUGGGUA
Molecule: long non-coding RNA, 585 nt
Organism: Prunus dulcis (almond)
Lineage: Eukaryota; Viridiplantae; Streptophyta; Magnoliopsida; Rosales; Rosaceae
Exons: 3
Source: RefSeq, a predicted model, not a curated record